This 4021-nucleotide long non-coding RNA is filed under the name Triticum aestivum (bread wheat). RNAcentral describes it as "long non-coding RNA (TAES_LNC004097)". Lineage: Eukaryota; Viridiplantae; Streptophyta; Magnoliopsida; Poales; Poaceae. The record is from RNAcentral.
GGAACCUGUCAUGAUUAGUAGAAACAAGAAACAAAAUUCGAGAAUAAUGUUCCUAUGAACUACUAGGAUGUGGUUGUAAAGUGCUCACAGUAAAGCAAAUAUCAAUAUCUUACAAGUUCUUACCAUGCGGCAGGUGGUGACAGGCAACCAGCGAUGUCAAAUAACUCCGAAGAUUGUGUAAAGCGAUUGCCAGGGGAAUGUACAUAUACACGGUGUAGAAAUAUGUGGAGCUGGGUUGGCUAUAUAUGGUAGCAAAAGAUUAGCAAUAAUCAAUUUAGAGAUGCAAUGUUGAAUAAACGCUCAACGACGGUACUGUGCUGGUCCUAGGCUAGACCGGACUAGACACGCGAGCCUAUAACACUAAUGAGGUCACGGCGUAGCACAACUAGCAUCAAUCAAGGAUACUAAGUAGCUCUGGACAGCAAAAUAUAAGUGAAGAUCACAACGGUAGUGAAGAUAAUGAUGAAAAACAACUGCCAAGCAGGAUAUACAACAACUCUCUCCAACUUUCCUCUUGAAAAGUUUGAGCCAAUUUUCUGAUAAAUUUUAAAAAAUGCUACUAACUUAGGCUUUUCAACGCAAAAAGAAUCACUCAAUUCCAAAUUGAUAUGAGGAGUCAAAGAAUUCUAAAACUGGCCUGAAAAAUUGGAAAAAGCUGUGUUCACGAACUUCGAAGGGCAAAAAGACCUAUUUAGAAGCCGAUUUUGAGGUGUCAAAUAUUGAAAUGGCUUAUAUAACUAUUUAGAUGCGGCUUGUCGCUAGCUUUAAUUUGAGUACUCACGGAGCCAAAACGGACUUCGUAUGAGGAAGAUAUACCUGUUUUACUGAACAGUGCGCAAAACAGAUUCCAAUCCGAAUUCAGGUACAGGAUUGAUUCUAUAUAGAUCUGAUUUUUUUUCUUUUCUCUUCUCUCUUUUUUUUCCUCACAGUUUUUUCUUUUUCUUUCUCUCCUCUUUUUUUUCUCUGAAUUUUUUUUAACUUUUUUUUCUCUCCCUCUUUCCAAGACAAACUAGAUAAGAUGCAGAUUGGAUCAAGCGAAGAUGUGAACGACCUCAACUAUGAUUGUGACAAUGAACAAUGGGUAGCACAUGGUGGAAUUUGAUGGGUGGGUGGUGGACAGUGGAAGGGAUAACGAUGCAGCGGCGAUGUGACUAAUGUGAACAGAACCCGAAACUCUAAACGAACUAGAGACUAAGACCAACAACUCGACACGACGAUGCAACCGAUAAUUCAAUAAUGCAAACAAUGAAAAGAAAAUUGCAAAGGCUCAGACUGGCUUGGACAAAGGGUGAAUAGAUCUAACUUUUUUGUGGCUUUUUCUUGGACAAUAGGUAAGAAAAUAAAUCUAAUCUAGGGAAAACUGGAAAUUCUCACCGAGCAACCUGAAAACUGAUACCACUUGAUAGAGGUGGGGUGUCCCGAUCUUUCGAUGAGAUGAUAACUAUAGAUUUGGUGGAGACGACUUUGAUGAUCUAACUACAAACGUGCACGACGUUGCGCCUUAGCAAUCGCUAAACCAACUCCGAGAGGUUAUUGACCAUGCCGGAGCACAAUCAACCUGACCACGAAAGUUUAUUCCUGCAAGCAACCGAAGAACAAGCAAGAUUAUUAUAAAAUCAAUCUGAAUAUUGCGAGUAUAUAUGAAGUAUUGAUAAAGGUGGGGAUCCGUAAGCGGUCUCGGUCUGGUCGUUGGACACAAACGAAGUACACGAAGUUGCAUUGGCUAACUUUUAACUAAACAAAUCCCAAAGAAAAAGCUACUAGAUGGAUCUACUUAUAUAGGAGCAAGGGGUGCCUUCCAAAGAGGUGGGAGGACGUCCCAAGGCAGCCUAAAACUAACCCUAGGUCGUACAAGGCCAAUGGGCCCAAGUGGAGGUGACGUAACACCUUUGGACUUGUACAUUGACUCGGAUUCUGCUGCAUCGUUAGAUAGUUUCGUCCAUAACUCAACGCUCCGGACGGAUUUUAAGGUGAUUCCAAAUGGGUUAGAAAGAGCAUGAAAUCUACUUUCCAAAAAAAGAAUCACCCAAUUCGGAGUCUGGAUGAAAGAGUUCUUGGUGUCUUGAAUCAGGUAUGUCUGUGUAGUCUGAAUCUGAGUCCAGAACGUGAGCGACCUGGACUCUAUCUUCUCUUGGGCCAAAAGUGACGUGAGAGAACUUUUUGAACAACAAGUAAACAUCUCUUUCUCCCUUAUCUUCAUAUGUGUAUUGUACAAAUGUCCCAUACACCUGCAAUUAGACAUGGCACAAAAGUUUGUGAAGUAUUUUUGUCCUGGACGACAUAAAUAAAUUAUUGCAUAGUUUGCAUUAGAAAUCACCUCACAAAUAUACAUGUAUGCAAUAUAUUUGGUCAUAUCGUCCUCAUCAUCCUCCCCUUCUUGAAAACAAAGCCGUCCUCGGUGUUGCUUAAUCUGAAAUGUGGCUAACAAAAGAGACAAGGUGUACAUGUUGUAUAUGUAUAUGUCAUCCAUUUUUACUUCCCUUGAUUUUUGCACAUAUGACACAUGUAUACAUGAGUAAUUUUCAUAGAUCAUAAAAUAUAAAGCCAAAAUAUUAUCAUAAGUAGAAGGCAUGAAAAUAUUGCAACUCAGUUUGCACAUAUAAGUGAAGCUCUUAUUCAUAUCAAAAGAUUGACAAUAUUCAUCAUUAAACCAUCCCAACAUUGGUGAAUAAACCUUACUUGCAUCAAAUUUACAUGCUACAACAUGCUUAAAUAAGCAAACAUGCAAUAAGUCAUUCGGCACAGAAUCAUCACCAAGAUUAGAGGUCAUAUCAAAAUGAUUAAACAUUGAUUCUUUUGCAUCAAUAGUUAAUUCAAUGGGUGCACUCAAAAUUGUUGGUAUUUCAGUUGUUUGAUCACAUGACGCAUUCAUGACAGUAUCAAGAUUCUCUAAAAUAGGUGUUGUGCUCAAAUCACCAGGUAACUGAACACAUGAUGCAUCAUUCUCAUGUGAAGUUAUAUCAUCAAUACCUAUACUGUUACCUUGUCGCAAAGACGUAGCUGAUGUAGGUACGAACGUUGACAAUGCACCAUACUCUUGAGAUGAUGUCGCACUCAUAAUCCGAGGUGGGGCUGCUCUAGUAGGUGCUAUGGUGGAGGAACCAACCGGCGGUGGUGAGCACGAACAGGAAUAGUAGUUGUUGUAGUCACCCAAUGCAUCCUCCUGUAUCUGUCUCUCAAAGGUACAAGCACGAACAUACAUACCAGUAAUGUAACGAGGAAUAUACUGAAAUCGUGCCUGAAUAUCGUGGUUCAAACCACCAAAAAAUAUAUUCAUUGUAUCAUCCUUAGAUUCUUCUAUGUCACAAUGAUGCAUAUAAGAUUUGAACUCUUGGUAGUAAGCAUGAACAGUGUUGUUGCCUUUUUUAAAUUGUUCAAAUUUGCGAAGCAAUUCACGACGAUCGUAAGGAGGGGAAAAAUGUUAUCUCAUUACAUCUUUCAAAUCUUUCCAUGUUGUGGGUUGGUUAUCAAUGUUUUUCUUACAAUGCACACUCCACCAAACAGAAGCAAAACCAGUAAAUGCUCUAGUGGCAGCUCAUACUCGCUCAAGUUCAGAAAAGUCAUGGUUACUGAAAACUUGUUCUACUUCCAACUCCCAAGCUAGAUAAAUAGCAGGAUUAAAUCUACCCUCAAAUGACGGUAAACAGAUAACCUGACCAUGUGCGUGUGUGUGUUGUCCCAACUCUCGUGAUGGUGAAUAUGUGUCCGUCGUCCAAGAACUUCUAUCUUCGAAGCCUGUCAUGAUUAGUUGAAACAACAAACAAAAUUCGAGAAUAAUGUUCCUAUGAACUACUAGGAUGUGGUUGUAAAGUGCUCACAGUAAAGCAAAUAUCAAUAUCUUACAAGUUCUUACCAUGCGACAGGUGGUGACAGGCAACCAGCAAUGUCAAAUAACUCCGAAGAUUGUGUAAAGCGAUUGCCAGGGGAACGUACAUAUACACGGUGUAGAAAUAUGUGGAGCUGGGUUGGCUAUAUAUGGUAGCAAAAGAUUAGCAAUAAUCAAUUCAGAGAUGCAAUGUUG